RNAcentral lists this ribosomal RNA (403 nucleotides) under uncultured bacterium. Its description in RNAcentral is "partial 16S ribosomal RNA". It matches the Rfam family "Bacterial small subunit ribosomal RNA", at positions 29 to 526 of the family's 1533-position model. The record is from RNAcentral.
AUUGAACGCUGGCGGCAGGCCUAACACAUGCAAGUCGAGCGAGCGGCGGACGGGUGAGUAAUGUAUGGGGACUGCCCGAUAGAGGGGGAUAACUACUGGAAACGGUGGCUAAUACCGCAUACUAUCGGAUAACCCAUAUGGGAUUAGCUAGUAGGUGGGGUAAAGGCUCACCUAGGCGACGAUCUCUAGCUGGUCUGAGAGGAGGAUCAGCAACAUUGGGACUGAGACACGGCCCAGACGCCGACGGAGGCAGCAGUGGGAAAUAUUGCACAAUGGGCGAAAGCCGGAUGCAGCCAGGCCGCUUGGAUGAAGAAGGCCUUAGGGUUGUAAAGUACGUUCAGCGGGGAGGCGUUACCCGCAUAAGAAGCACCGGCUAACUCCGUGCCAGCAGCCGCGGUAAUUC